Molecule: RNA transcript, 1462 nt
Organism: Helianthus annuus (common sunflower)
Lineage: Eukaryota; Viridiplantae; Streptophyta; Magnoliopsida; Asterales; Asteraceae
Exons: 6
Source: RefSeq, a predicted model, not a curated record
UUCAUUAGUCGUUUAAGACGCCUCCAGGGAGAGGUUAGGGAUUUCACCCAUGAACCCUAAUAUGCGAUUGUAAAUGAAUCGUCUGCAAUUGAAACGGAACCAUCAACGCUAACCUACAUCACCGGCUCUUCAAUUCACCUCGCAGCCCCCUUCAAAUCCCCCACCCCUUCACCGAUCAAUAUUUGUAUCAGCACCAUCGAGUCACGUUCUUCACUCCCAAACACGGGGGUACAUGUUUUUACGAAAACCUAAACAAUUGCGGUGAGCAGUUGUUUGAACCCAAAUUGAAAAAACAGGAGAUGGCGACGGCAACAUCUGACGAAGUCGAGGAGAGCAAAUACGACAGUGAGUGUUCUCUAUGGCGUAUCUAAGUUUCGGUCGCGCACCCGCCUCUACGGCGAACUCCUGGUCAAGAAACCGGCAACACAAAGAUUCUGACGGCCCUUAUAACUAUGAUAAUACUCAGAAGGUGGAGGUGAGGAAGCUGUAAAGAGGCGUAAAAGUAUGAAUAAAUUACUUCCUAGAGAUAUAAUCGUCCGGUUACUGGAUUCUUAUUCUUCGUUCCUUGAUCUUUCUCAGGUUAGAAACUAAUCAUUUGUUUUAAUUUAUUCUUGUAUAACUUGCAUUUUGUGAUGAAGGACCCGCGAACUCAACGAUUUCUCUCGUAGUAUAUUCAAUUCUCAUAUCUAUAACUCUAAUAACUACAUUAUAUAUCUCUACAAUUAUGACUAAACUGUUAAUGAUGGAUGGAUAUAAUUAUUAGAGAAUAUAUUUUCUUAAAUCCCAUUAUGACAUAUUUAGCUGAGUGUUUCAAGGAUCAAACUGAUGUUCAGUGCUUGCACCGGUGUCAGAAAGUUUUUAACCCCGAGCUUGUUAAAGGUCCAUGGCCAAAACAGGUAGUUACCUUGGUGAUCAUCGUUGACAUGAUAGCGUGGAUGCAAGAAGGUGGCCAAGCAUUAGCAGCACACUCAUCUGAAGCUGUUAGGAUGAAAGGUGCCACUGAAGUAAUGUCAGCAAUGAAUAAGCUAACAAGUUGGUGGAAAACAUUAUGUUGAAGCUUGUCUAUCAAGCUCCGAGGCCAUCAGUUACUAUUCGUCUUCUCUUUGGCACAUCUAUGAUUUGUUGUAGGAAACAAAAGGUCUUUAUAAAGAAGUUUUAACAACAUAUUAAAUUGCUCUAGACAUUGACCCCCUUGUGCAAAGUCUUGUUUUGUUGGCCAUGGUCUUAAGAUCACUUGGUGGCAAGUUUAAGCAUUGCGGUUAGACCGGAUGAACUCUUGGGCUUGGUAAGCUCUGGGGAAGUUUUACAAAGAUGAGGGUUCGAUGUUCAUAAAGGAAGUUUUGGACUGUUUUGAGGCUACAAGGAAACGGAAACCAUCAAGCCAUUUAGAUGAUGACGACAAAACAGACGCACCCGCCGCAACGCGCGGGCAUACCCACUAGUAUAACAAUUAUAGUGAAAG